UUGCGCAAUGGGCGCAAGCCUGAUGCAGCGACGCCGCGUGGGGGAUGACGGCCUUCGGGUUGUAAAGCUCUGUUAUAGUUGACGAAGGAAGUGACGGUAGGCUAUAAGGAAGCCCCGGCUAACUACGUGCCAGCAGCCGCGGUAAUACGUAGGGGGCGAGCGUUGUCCGGAAUGACUGGGCGUAAAGGGCGUGUAGGCGGCUGAUUAAGUCUGGAGUGAAAGUCCUGCAUUCAAUGUGGGAAUUGCUUUGGAUACUGAUCGGCUUGAGUGCGGAAGAGGUAAGUGGAAUUCCCAGUGUAGCGGUGAAAUGCGUAGAGAUUGGGAGGAACACCAGUGGCGAAGGCGACUUACUGGGCCGUAACUGACGCUGAGGCGCGAAAGCGUGGGGAGCGAACAGGAUUAGAUACCCUGGUAGUCCACGCGGUAAACGAUGAAUGCCAGGUGUUGCGGGUAUCGACCCCUGCAGUGCCGGAGUAAACACAAUAAGCAUUCCGCCUGGGGAGUACGGCCGCAAGGUUGAAACUCAAAGGAAUUGACGG
This 539-nucleotide ribosomal RNA is filed under the name uncultured bacterium. Its description in RNAcentral is "bacterial SSU rRNA". It matches the Rfam family "Bacterial small subunit ribosomal RNA", at positions 364 to 916 of the family's 1533-position model. The record is from RNAcentral.